This 440-nucleotide ribosomal RNA is filed under the name uncultured bacterium. Its description in RNAcentral is "partial 16S ribosomal RNA". It matches the Rfam family "Bacterial small subunit ribosomal RNA", at positions 338 to 795 of the family's 1533-position model. The record is from RNAcentral.
CCUACGGGAGGCAGCAGUGGGGAAUAUUGCUCAAUGGGGGCAACCCUGAAGCAGCGACGCCGCGUGAAGGAUGAAGGACUUAGGUGUGUAAAGCUCUGUUUGUAGAGAAGAAAAUGACGGUACCUGACCAAUAAGCUCCGGCUAACUUCGUGCCAGCAGCCGCGGUAAUACGGAGGGAGCAAGCGUUAUCCGGAUUUACUGGGCGUAAAGGGAGCGUAGGCGGGUGUGUAAGACAGUUGUGAAAGCCUGCGGCUCAACCACAGAACUGCAUUUGAAACUGUCAGUCUUGAGUGCCGGUGGGGUAGGUGGAAUUCGUGGUGUAGCGGUGAAAUGCGUAGAUAUCACGAAGAACACCGAUUGCGAAGGCAGCCUACUGGACGGUUACUGACACUGAUGCUCGAAAGCGUGGGGAGCAAACAGGAUUAGAUACCCUAGUAGUC